AAAUACAUGUAAAUAUUUAUUUGCAAAAUACAUAUAUAUUUAUGUUAUAUAAUUUAGACUGGAAAUAAAUAUAGUAAAUAUAUACAACUAACAUACUCUUUCUGAAAUGUUUACAUGCGUGUGUGUGUACAUAUACAUAAUAAAUCUACACAUUGCACAUGCAUAUCUUUAAGUAAAGAAAAACUUUUAUUUUGGAUGUAAUUAAUCGUGAUUAAUCCCUCGACGGCACUAAAAUAAAAAAAACAACCUGUAACAAAUAUCAUAAAUGUAUACAAAUUGCUGCAUAUUUAAUUAAAUACCUCCUCAGUUGCAUAUUUUAACAUAACAUUUCAGAGAAAAAAAUUAAAUUGCAAUGUAAUCAAUCAACUAUGGAAAUCUGCAAUCAUUUUUUUUUAAACCCUAUUCACCUGGGGUGUCAUUUUAGAAAACAGUCCCACGGGAUAAAACCCUUGUGCGAUUGCUGUCACAAACUGAGCUUCGGCAGAAGGAUCAGAAAUGGACAAAUCCACUCGUAAUGACAGUAUUUGCUCUCACAGGCUGAAACGAGAAGCUACAGUAAAGGUCUGGCGACGCGGCGCGCUCGCUUCACUCAUUCACUCCUCACUACCACGGUGUUCAAUCCAAACCCCGCUCCUCAAGCUUGGCUUAGUGUUGCCAUGGAAAUCCCGACUGUUUGCUCUCAAAACACAUCCAGACAAGAAACGACAUGAUCUCUCCGGUCCUAGCCCGGCGGAGCUGAACUACACGGUGGACGAGAACGCGGGGACAUCCUCAUCAGUCCCGCAGCCCAUCUCAAACACACACACACACACACAAACAAAUAUUGAUGGAUUUGCAUAGAUGUCGAUCAGAUGGCUCGGGUUUUAUAGAGGGUUUAUGAAAAUGAGCUCUUCCUGCAGUUGCCAGAAAGAUGAACUGGGGCGAGGGACAGUGUAGACGGUAGGUCAGAUGGAGGAACGUGCCUCUGAGUUAUUCAUUACAUUCUUUCUGUCCCAUCCUUGCUGCCUUCCUCAUUACCAGGCUAAUUUCUCCAGCCUCUCUGCGCACAAUGGAGCCUUUGUGUGUGUGUGUGUGUGUGUGAGCGCGUGCGGGAGCAGGCUGAGCCCCUGUUCGACUGAAACUGUCCAACCUUACCCCAGCAGGUAUUCCUUUUGGCCUUUAAAGUCGUGUUUGCCAUCUGCAAAGCUUUAAGUUCUCACAGCCCCGCUCGAAAACCUGCGCCGAAAGGUCACCCAGAUGUCUUUCUCUCGCUUUAGUGGGAACCUGUUUGCGGUGAGGUCACCCAGAUAACUCGCAGCGAACGGCCAAAACGGUCACAAGCCAAUCGUCCAGCCCGGAGCAGAACGCCGAGGCUCAAGUCCAUUUUCCUGUCUGUUGGAGUUAAAGAGGAUGCAUCACUGAUUGAACAGAGUGAGCCUGGUGAAAUGUGGAGAAAUAGAGAAGUGUUUUUCUUGGACUCCAAACAAUGAUUGUUUUCACAAUUGCAGUCGGCAGGGCAUCAGUGUUGGAGAUGGAGAAAGCAGAUCACUCACUUAAUGGCUCCCUUUUUACUGUCUCUCCCUUAACUGGCUCAACCAUAUGGAUUUGAGGACAAAGACAUUACAUUUAUGCUAAUUACAACAGCCAUGUGCAGACAAAGGACCGCAAAGGUGUACCUGUACCAUGACAAAGAGACUGUGAAUGCCAUGGCACAAAUAUGAAAAGCCAAACGGGGGGAGGGUGGGCAUGUGAGUGAGUUUGUGUGUCUGUGUUUGUUCCAUCAGUGGAGAAUGUGACAUUUGAAGGAUGAGAGACCCUUUUCAUGCUGGAAACUGGAAACUUAGAAGACAUUUUCAUUUCAUUUAUGCACUUCACAGGGGACAGAGAAGCAGAAAAACAGAGCGGCAAAGAGGAAGUUUGGAAGACAGGGAAGUUAGUGGAGAACAAAAACAGAAAGAACAUAAAGAACUUAAGACAAGUAUUAAGACAGGGUUUUAAGGUGGUACGUCACACCAAAAAACUUCCCAGCAUCCCUUCUGCUCAGCAAACGAUGACGCAUCAUUCUGCUGACACAAGUCAGCUGAUUGCUGUGUCACGGCAAUGGUUUUAGGCGAGUGGCAGCGCUCCGGCUACAGACGUAGAGUCUUUUUUUCCUCCCAGACGCACUGCGGCACAGCCAGACGACUAGAGUGGAGGCACAGGAGCUCACAGCUGCAGUCUACUGGCUUGUUUCGGGGAGGCACAGGAGCCGAGCACUUCCUCUCGAAAUACCGUCGCUCUGCUCCUUUUCGCCGUUGAAGGAUCGUUUUCAUUGGGGCAGAGAGUAGAGCCAAAAAAGAAGACGAACUCUUGAGUCGAGCGACUUGGAAUUAACGUCGGUCUCAUUUGUAGACAGAAAAUUUGGAGAAUCGAGCCCGGUGAUUUUUUGGGGGGUUGUUUGCGCCAUCGUUUGCCGAUACCAGACCGGGUUCCCAGGCUGAGAAGUGGGCGCUAAAAACUUGGAUUCCAGUGCGUCACCUGUCCAUCCAGUCGUAAACCUGUCCCACGCAAGACGUCCAGUCAACCGGGCCCGUCUGCGUUCCCAUUCGCAGCGACCGGCCAAAGUGGCUGCUCCGCUCCAAGGUUAAGGUGGCUUUGGGUCCUAGACCUAGUCCUUGUCCAGAGGGCAGGGCAGAGGCGAGCAGAAAUGGCGACGCGGCAGCUGAGGCGAGCUCAGCCAGACAGACGCGGUGACCUAAAUCAGCCCCAGUCAUGUCUGGACGCAGCCAGAGCGAGGCAGACGGAGAGGAAGACAGAACGAGUGAGGGAGUGAGAGAGCGACCCACACGUACCGACUCGAACAUAUACUCGCACUACGUAAACGGCCGGAUAAAAGGCGGGCUGAAGUGAGUUGGUCAGACAGGCCUUGCCAAACCCACAGGCUGUUCUGCUGCUUUGCUACCGCUGCGGUGUUUUGAUGUGCGCUACUGUGCAGAUGCAGUUUUUGGGCGAUAACCAACAAGCUACCGUACAGGAGGAGACUCUGGGAAAGUAAGGGAUAUCUUUCAAGGUUAGUGUCAAAUCCCAAGGGCGCCAUGAUGCAGCUGUUGCUUUAGCACAAUGUCAGAUUGCCGGGCCGUGUGGCAUCUGUCCCUGCUUGCCACGCCAAAAAACAGUUCCACAGAAGAAAGGAUGCCCUUGUGAAAAAGAAGUGUGCUUAAUUGUGUUGAACAUGCAGUUGUACUACAGUUUUUAAAAAGCAUAUAUACUAGUUAAACAAUUCAUCAUGAUUAAAAGUUUUUGUUGACAUAAUAUAUGUACAUGUAAUUAUUAUUAUUAUUAUUAUAUUAGCGCUCUCAAAUGAUUAAUUGUAUCCAAAAUAAAAGUUUUUGGUUGACAUAAUAUAAUACUAUAAAUUUGUCAUAAUUGUUUGUCAAUGCAUUUCGGCAGUACAUUUUAACCAUAUUUAAUGCAAUUUAAAUAAUUAUGAAAUUAUAAAUAAAGAUCCUGAAGAUCCUUAAGUCCUAUAAAGGUCAGCUUUUUAAAUUUUAUGAACAUUUUAAAAUACAGUUAGAAAGUAUUUUUUUUAUACAGUAAAAAUACAGGCAGAAAACAUUGCAUUGUUCACAUUUUUGCUUAUUAUUCUGAAGUAUAUUAUGUCCAUGGAUGGCACUAGAAUUUUUUUUUCCUGUAUGAACAGUAGUAAAACACCAUUAACAAUAUGCGUUAUUUUAUCUCAAUGUAGAUUACCAUGUACCACCCUGAGAAUAUUUUUUUUUCCUGUCACGUGUUUUCCUUUCAACUGUUUAGAAAGAAAACCAACAGUCACACCAGGCCUGUACCGUCUCAAAAGGGCCUACUAAGCUUUAUGUACUAAUAUGAACUCUUUAGGGGUAAAAAGUAGAGUAGGUAGCCUAAAACAGACAACAAAAAGAAAGCUGUCUACAACUUAUAUCAAUUUAUAUCCAAAACUAGAAACACCACCGAUUAAAUCCAUAAUAGGUAUACUAAAAUGCACUUCUUUUUCACAAGUAUGUUCAUGUUCCAACUCUUGCCCUUUAACUGAGGACAGUCGAAUUCUUCCUUACCCUCAAAAUCAACUGGACCGCCUCGUUUUUAUCCAUAUCAGCACACUGCUAUUCUUACAAGCAUUAAAUAUUCUCCGCGGGGUCAGUUGAGUGCCCAUGUUUGCGGAUGGAAGCGCAUGACCGAGCUCUCGGACGACCUCGCACCACGUUGCACGGCUUACACAACAAGUCCAUAAUGAGACGUAGGUAUUAGUCAGUCGUCUAGCCUAACAGUUACUGGCUGCUCCCACGCUAGGAUGCGCUGCGUGUUAUUGUGUUCCACCGGUGGCCUGCAGCGCACGAAUAAACACUACACCAGACUGAUGGAAAAACUCCAAAACCGUAAGAACAACAUGUACAAACCGGGACGGAGAGCAAAGUCAAUAAAUCUGAAAGCCUUCAAAGCUUCCCGAGAACAGACAAGCGAUGAAAGGCCACGAUCGGCACCUGUUCGCUUUGAAAAUGUCACUUCUCUUUCACACUUUGAGUAUUUAUACAAACCCCGCAAUACUAGAGACUGGGAGAGCUACCUAACCAGUGGAAAAGAGAAAGAGCGAUGCUGCAGUCGAAGUGCGGGGCCUUUCUCACUGGUUGUUGUUUAUGUGUUGAUCUGCCCAGAGGUGAUCCACGAUCAAACCUAACUCAAAAGCAGUCUCUUCUGCUUGAUCUUACCACUCAGUACAUGAAGCCCAUGCAGCGCUACUGGAGCAGAAUGAAGGGACCUUCAGGGCCAAACUUCCUCCCUGCUCUCCAUCAACAGAGAGAAGGACAAAAUGUUUUCUACAACACGAGUUCUGCUUGCACAAGCAACGCAUAAGUCACCCGUAAUGACUCUGCAUAUAAACACAUACUGACACCCACCGAACUACACCCCGUGUUGUUAACUUACAUGUAAGUAAUACAUAGCGUGUUCAAUUACUGUCUGAGUGAUGUAUUGCUGCAUACCAUAUCCAAGACAUUUGUUUAUUAUUGUUGUUUAAAAAUGGUACUAGAGGCUACAGCACAUGGGACGACAGACUGCAUUUUUCAUAUUCAAGCAUUUUUCUUCUUUGUUUCAGUAAGAAAAUCCUGCUCCAGUGUGCCACAAGUCAUGGGGGAAGACAGGGUUUUGGACGGAGAAAGGAAACCUUUGUUUUUUUUCUGUCCAUGGAGAAGUAUGUGAAGGCAUAAAUUCAUAAUGUCUCUCCAAGUAGCAUACAGUCAAACCAAAAAUUAUUCAGACACCAGACAUACAGUAUAGUGGGUGCAGGACAAUAAGUGAAGAUAGCAAAAUAAAGCAAACUGUGACUUAUUAUGCCUAAAAAGUGUUUUAUUGUGGAUUUGGGACCAAGAAAUACCUAACUUAUGUAGGUCAACCAAUUUAUUUUCGACACAGUCUAACACAAGGAUGGCUAAAACCAAUGAAAGAUCAACUGAUUUGAGAAUAAAGGUAGUUAAAUUCAACAAGCAGGGCUUUUCAAUUAGAAAUAUAGCUAAAAGAUUAGAUAUGCCUAAAGGGACGGUCUUUUCCAUUGUAAAGAAAUUCAGAGAGACUGGCGAGGUGAAGAAUUUGCCUGGCCGUGGAAGAAAGAAAAAGACGACAGCCAGAACAGACAGACUUAUUAAACAGUUAGCGAAGAAAAACAGAAAGAUUUCUGCUAAAAAAAUUGCUGCUGAAGUCAAAAAGGCCACUGACACAGAACUGUGUGCUCAAACCAUUCGCAACAGGCUGAAUGACCCCAGAAGAAUGCCCCAGAAGACACCCUCGAAAUCAAAGACGACGCCUCCUCCAGUUUGCUGAAGAACAUAUCGAUAAGUCUACAGAAUUUCGGAAGUCAGUCCUUUGGAGUGAUGAGAGUAAAUGUGUGGAGGACCAAAGGAGAAGCCUUGAAGCCCCAGUGUCUUACUCCUACUGUAAAUAAUGGAGGGGGCAAUGUUAUGCUGUGGGGGUGUAGGGCAGCUAGUGGACUAGGCAAACUACAUUUCAUUGAUGGAACUAUGAACUGUGAGUGGAAGUUCUCCAGAGUCAGAUGCUGCCGUCAGCCAGGAAGCUCAUGGGCCGUCGUUUCAUAUUUUAGCAUGAUAAUGGAACCAAACACAAUGCAAAAAAGCUCUGGCCACCGCAAAGUCCAGAUCUAACCCCGACUGAGCAUAUCUGGGAGGUGAUGGAACAUCUUAAUCUCAUACUAACAGUUGUCUGAAUCAUUUUAGGUUGACUGUAAUCUGUUACAUACCUUUCUACCAAAGUUAUCUGAUAUUAUCAAGAUUAAUUCAUGCUGACAGUUUAAUUCUGAGCUCUUGUCAUAUCUUCUAAACUGUUGAAAAUAAACUUUCAUAAUGUGAGAAAUGUUAAAGGUGUCUGGAAUUUUUGGUUUGACUGUUGGGAAAGCUAUUGUAAAACUAGCUUGCUAAGGUAAGACACAUUUAAAGCAGUUAAACUACUGUCAGUGUACUUAAGAUAGCAGGCUAAAAGUAGACUGAGUCAAGCUAUUUAAAAAGGCAGUAAAAUUCUGUCAUCUUUUACUCAACCUCAAGUUGUUCAAAACCUGUAUUAAUUUUCUUUCUUCUGUUGAACACAAGGUGUUGUAGAUCAGAAGGUAACCUUGUUUUGGUAACCUUUGACUUUCAUUGUAUGGUCAAAUAAGACAGACAUUUCUAAUUAAUCAGAUAAUCAGGUUUUUGAUUGAAUGUACAGCGAGACUAAACAUAUAAACUCCUCAUUAUUAUUUAAUUUUAUUUAGUUUAAUUGUAUUAUCUUGUUUUCUUUUUUUUAUUUCAAAUUCUCACCAAGGCUUGAAUUUAUUUAAUUGAAAAGCUAGGUCAAAAACAUCUGUGCAGCUUAUUGUUUUUGUGUAAACUCCAAUAUAUUUUUUCAAGUUUCUUUGUGUAGUUCAAACUGCAUUUAUUAACAGUACAUGUCAGUAAAUCAAUUUCAUCAAUUUAAUGCGUCCUUGAUAAUAAUUAAAAAUAUCAUCCCCAGUUACUCCAUACUUUCAAACAGUAGUCUACAUUUGAAUAAAUAGAAGUAAACUAGAAUACAAUCUAAUUUGCAUAACUAAACAGUAGCAUUUACCUUAAUAUUCCCCAAAAUAUUCUGCUGUACUGCCGUUGAUAAAUGUAGUUCAGCUAAAACUUUCAGUUAUUCUUAUUUCCCAGUUAUUUCCCAAAACAAGUUGCCAAUAUAAACCGUUGAACAGCAUAUCUAGCUUGAGAGGUAUAAAGACACUUCAACCGCAGCACCUUCUCACACAAGAUCUCUGACAGGAAUAAAAUUCGGUGCAAUUUACACCAAAGUCUAUGUGAAAGAGCCCAUUGUCACUGUGGAAUAGGUAAAUACGAUAUGAGCCUGAACAUUCCCUAUGCUGGUGUAUUUUUCCAUAACACCAAGUUGCUCUUUUACACUCAUAACCCUACGUGUCACAUCCUGCCAGAGGAUUUUAAAGACGUUGUGCAAUUUUCAAUAAUGUUCCUCAGGUCCUAAAGGAGCUCAAUAACUCCAGGCCUACAGAGGCCACUGAAUCAGCAUUUCAAAGUGAAACUCCUUUCCACAAAGACCUUUGAAUUGAAAUAGAAAAGUUUCUCCUUCCCAGCCGUACGGGCUCAACUCUGAUUGACCCCUCUCAAUCUGUGCCUCUCUGUUGUAAAGAACAGGCAUAAAAUAAGGCAGAGUUAAUAGAGUUUAAGACUAAGAGCCAAACCGCAUUGGAAUAGGAAGGAGAUGGAAAAGAGUCAAGGGAGGGAGAGCGACUGAGGCCGAGAGAGACUGAGCAAAGGGAGGAGAGAGAGAGCGAUCCCUAAGGGAGAGGGAUUGGGUCCGGGCUGCCUGAGGAGAUUCUCGCCUCUAAUUGGCUGAAUGCCUUGGCGUUCCCACAAUGCCUCGCGUUUCAGUGACUUUCUCUAAAGUCUCGAAGGACUCUUCAAGGUUACCGUCACUCUUCAGCGUUAUCGCUGCUCUCUAAGCCACUGUAGCAAAUCUGCUUUUAGCGUAGCCAUGACGGACUAUUGAGAAAAGCUGAAUAUUCAAAACCGGAAUGGGUCAUCAUUCAACUUCAACUUUUGUGAUAUACAGUAGUUCGCUCAGCCCCACAAUAAAACAGGCAUUAGAGUAAAACAUCGAUGCUGAACCGUAACUCGAUUUUCUCAUGCAUGUGUUUGUUUUUCCAGCAGUCGGAGUCGUGCUGCGACUGAAUUCUGUUUGCGUUAAUUUCGCCGCCUUCCCCUCAAACAGAUUGUUGUGAAAUAAAGAGGGUGUAAUGAAAAGCGUGCCCUUGAAUCCAAAAGCCAUUGAGGUGUCUUUUUACUUCCAUUCCUGCAGAGAUCUGCCUUGUGCUUUUCUUCCAGCAUUUGCUAAAGCUAACCGAAUAAGCGCGUGUGUGUAUCAAAGUGGAAUCAAAUAAAGAAAUCAUCUCUGC
Puntigrus tetrazona (Sumatra barb) is the source of this 8416-nucleotide long non-coding RNA. RefSeq lists it as uncharacterized. The transcript has 5 exons. Lineage: Eukaryota; Metazoa; Chordata; Actinopteri; Cypriniformes; Cyprinidae. The record is from RefSeq and is a predicted model, not a curated record.